Molecule: long non-coding RNA, 1350 nt
Organism: Oncorhynchus tshawytscha (Chinook salmon)
Lineage: Eukaryota; Metazoa; Chordata; Actinopteri; Salmoniformes; Salmonidae
Source: Ensembl
GCAGAGUGUAGGGAAAAAGUUGAGGAACAGCUCAAGACAGAUAUUACGUAUUUUGCUACUACUACCGAUCUGUGGUCUAGUCGCAUGUCCGAGCCUUUCUAUAUUGACAAAGAGUGGAAUCUUAUAAACACCAUACUUUCCCGACGACCAAGCUAUAAGCAGAGGGGCUUAUUGAUGCUCUCGCCUUCUGGGGACUCAGUCAAGACAGACAGGUCUGCAUUACAACGGAUAGUGGUGUGAACGUGGCGAAAGCCGCUCAAAUCAACAAAUGGACCAGACUGAAAUGUUUUGGACAGCAUCUGCACUUGGCCAUUGAGAGAGUGGGUAGAGACAAAGGGGUGGAUCGCGCAAUUGGAGUGUGUAAGAAAGUGGUAGGUGCCUUAUCCUAUUCAUGGAAAAAGAAGAGAGGCAGUUGCUCAAAAAGAACACAACCUACCCCAGCACAAAUUGGUGACAGAGUGGGGAUCAAGUCAAAAGGUGGUGCAGAGUACUGGAGCAGGAUAAAGCCAUUUCACAGGUCUUGUUCAGUGACAAGAAGACCCGGCACUUAGCUCCCACCUAUACAGAUAUAGACGUUCUUGAGUCCAUCAACCAGGCAUUGAGCCAACUCCUAGAAUUCACAGAUGCUCUGUCUGGUGAGUCUUAUGUCAGUGUGUCUUAGCUGAAGCUAGUAUUACACCUAUUCAAUACAGAGGUCAUGAAACCUGAUGAUGGUGAAACAGAGCUCACCCAAACCAUCAAAACAAUAGUCAUGGACUAUCUGAAUGAGAAAUAUGAUGACCUAGCCAAAGAUGAGCCUCGUUGGUUGACCCUCAGUUUAAAACACAUUUACAUCAAAGAGGAGAAGGUGGGCCACAUAAAAGCAAGAGCUGUCUCAGAGAUGGUCAAUGAGGGAUAUGAAAACCCAAGCCCAGCACAGGGAGACGAUGAUGCUGCUUCACCACAACUGCCAGCUAAAAAGAGAAAGUCACUGGGCAGUUUUUUCAAAAAGCCAUGCUCCACUACCACAGGUCUCACUGAAAUCCAGCUGGUAGAAAAGGAACUCAACUGCUACCUUCAGUCUCCUGAUGCUGACAGUGGAGCCAAUCCACUGGACUGGUGGAAGAUCCACCCAAAAAAACUUUCCCAAAGUCAGCCACCUGGCAAAGCGCUACCUGUGCAUUCCUGCGACCAGCUCCCCCUCCGGAUGUGUUUUUAGCACAGGUGACCUGCCAUAGGGCAGCUUUAAAACCAGAGACCAAAGACAGACUUGUCUUUCUUGAAACUACCCCAACUUCAACUGUGAUGUGCCACUAGGCUAACAGUAAUAAUGCAUAUUGACUUGCACUAUUUUAUUUCGUUUUUUUUUUU